GAAUCCCUACUGAGCGCGUGAACAGCCGUUGAGUUUUUGCCAACACCAUUAAUACGGGAGCCUGGGCUCCGUGUAAGGGCGUGUGAGGCCCAUUUCUGGGAUACACAAAGCUACAUGGGAGGGCACCCACCUGCUGAGCAGGUUAAAACUUGAGGCGUCACGGCCUGGUGGGGUUUUU
RNAcentral lists this non-coding RNA (178 nucleotides) under Syntrophomonadaceae bacterium. RNAcentral describes it as "6S RNA". It matches the Rfam family "6S / SsrS RNA". Rfam says of the family: E. coli 6S RNA was the first non coding RNA to be sequenced, but its function was unknown until recently. Lineage: Bacteria; Bacillati; Bacillota; Clostridia; Eubacteriales; Syntrophomonadaceae. The record is from RNAcentral.